Non-coding RNA from Cinara cedri, 145 nucleotides. The record is from the annotation of a GenBank genome assembly. NCBI's taxonomy places the organism in Eukaryota, Metazoa, Arthropoda, Insecta, Hemiptera, Aphididae.
CGUAAAUCAAAUAAUGAGAGAUACAGAGUUUUAGUGUUAUAUAAAAAAAAAAAAUAAUAAUAAUAAUAAUAAUAAAAAUAUAUGUGUUUAUAUAUGCGCGCGCGCGCGCGUGUGUGUGUACAUACGCGCGUCGUUGACGGUACGA